CAGCACAUCUGUGAGACUGCUGCGGUCCCACCCAGAGGAAAUCACUUCCACUCUGUGUUUUCAAAUUCAAUUAGGAAGUGAUUUCUUCAGGCUGGAAAGCAAGUCAUCCUGGCUG
This is a non-coding RNA of Ornithorhynchus anatinus (platypus), 115 nucleotides long. NCBI's taxonomy places the organism in Eukaryota, Metazoa, Chordata, Mammalia, Monotremata, Ornithorhynchidae. The record is from RefSeq and is marked provisional.